GAACUGCGAUAAGUAAUGUGAAUUGCAGAAUUCAGUGAAUCAUCGAGUCUUUGAACGCACAUUGCGCCCCCUGGCAUUCCGGGGGGCAUGCCUGUCCGAGCGUCAUUGCUGCCCUUCAAGCCCGGCUUGUGUGUUGGGUCGUCGUCCCCUCCGGGGGACGGGCCCGAAAGGCAGCGGCGGCACCGCGUCCGGUCCUCGAGCAUAUGGGGCUUUGUCACCCGCUCGAUAAGGACCGGCCGGGCGCCAGCCGGCGUCUCCAACCUUUUUUUCUCAGGUUGACCUCGGAUCAGGUAGGGAUACCCGCUGAACUUAAGC
This 315-nucleotide unclassified non-coding RNA is filed under the name plant metagenome. Its description in RNAcentral is "partial contains 5.8S ribosomal RNA, internal transcribed spacer 2, and large subunit ribosomal RNA". The stretch from base 1 to 105 matches the Rfam family "5.8S ribosomal RNA", at positions 50 to 154 of the family's 154-position model. The record is from RNAcentral.